CUAAGUCAGCUGCUCUCGGAUUGCGCGGCCAGAGAGAAACUGAGAUGGGGACAGAAAAGUGAGAGAGAGGGAAACAGGGUCAUCAUGUCCUGUGUCCCCAGGGGGUCAUCAUCUGGGAGUGGAGAGGACACUAACCUGCCUUAUGAGCAUUUCAAGAUUCUUGGGACAGAGAAACGACAAUGCAUCAUGGACAUUUGGCAAUGUCUGGAGACAAUUUUGGUUCUCACACUGGAGGGGCAUUACUGGAAUCAACUGGAUAGAAGCCAAGGAUGCUGCUAACAUCCUACGACGCACAGAGCACCCUGCCACAGCAAAGAACCAUCUGUUCCAAGCAAGACCAACGGUGCCGAGGACAAUCUCACAAAUUGAUAAGGAUUCACUCACUGCUAUUUUCUCCUUGUUUGGAAAAUAUGUAAUCAAGAAAUCCACUAUCCUCCAUGGAGACAGACACCACCAAGGACAAGGACCUGGAUUCAUUAUCUCCUCCCCACAAAGAGAUACAGGCUGGUGGGAGAGCUGCUGACCAGCAAUGUCAUGGGCUCCCUCCUCUCUGCAAGUGUCUCAAGGCCAAAGACAGGCUGGUGGGAAAGCUCCAACCAGCAAGCCCAUAUGCUCCCCCUCCCCUACCUAAAACCCCAAAUAAAAACCCUUCCUUUUAGCUUUUCCGGGAGUUCGGGAUUUCAGCAUUAGCUGCCCUCUCUCCUUGUUCAGUGCUGUGCAAUAAUAAAAUUCCUACUUUCUUCCACCAAACCUGGUGUCAGAGAUUGGC
RNAcentral lists this long non-coding RNA (769 nucleotides) under Equus asinus (donkey). RNAcentral's name for it is "lncRNA (ENSEASG00005024129.1)". Lineage: Eukaryota; Metazoa; Chordata; Mammalia; Perissodactyla; Equidae. The record is from RNAcentral.